GUAGUCGUGGCCGAGUGAUUAAGGCGACAGACUAGAAAUCUGUUGGGAAAUUCCCGCGCAGGUUCAAAUCCUGCCGACUACG
Molecule: transfer RNA, 82 nt
Filed under: Dendronephthya gigantea
Lineage: Eukaryota; Metazoa; Cnidaria; Anthozoa; Malacalcyonacea; Nephtheidae
Description: tRNA-Ser
Rfam family: tRNA
About the family: Transfer RNA (tRNA) molecules are approximately 80 nucleotides in length. Their secondary structure includes four short double-helical elements and three loops (D, anti-codon, and T loops).
Source: RNAcentral